RNAcentral lists this ribosomal RNA (610 nucleotides) under uncultured Chlamydia sp. RNAcentral's name for it is "bacterial LSU rRNA". It matches the Rfam family "Bacterial large subunit ribosomal RNA", at positions 4 to 608 of the family's 2925-position model. The record is from RNAcentral. Lineage: Bacteria; Pseudomonadati; Chlamydiota; Chlamydiia; Chlamydiales; Chlamydiaceae.
CAAGUUAAUAAGAGCUAUUGGCGGAUGCCUUGGCAUUGACAGGCGAUGAAGGAUGUGUUUACCUGCAUUAAUCUUCGGUGAGCUGGUAUAAAGCUAUGACCCGGAGGUGUCCGAAUGGGGCAACCCGAUAGAUUAAUAUUCUAUCAUUAUAUGUUGAAUUCAUAGACAUAUAAAGCAACACCUACUGAACUGAAACAUCUUAGUAAGUAGAGGAAAAGAAAUCAAAGAGAUUCCCUGUGUAGCGGCGAGCGAAAGGGGAACAGUCUAAACCACAUUUUAAUGUGGGGUUGUAGGGUCGAUAACACGAGAUCUUAAGUUUUAGUUGAAUACUUCUGGAAAGUAGAACGAUACAGGGUGAUAGUCCCGUAAACGAAAAGACAAGAGACUCUAAUCGAUACCUGAGUAGGGCUAGACACGUGAAACCUAGUCCGAAUCUGGGGAGACCACUCUCCAAGACUAAAUACUAGUCAAUGACCUAUAGUGAACCAGUACUGUGAAGGAAAGGUGAAAAGAACCCUUGUUAAGGGAGUGAAAUAGAACCUGAAACCAAUAGCUUAUAAGCGGUCGGAGACCUAUAACUUUUCGAAGUAAUGGUUGACGGCGUGCCUUU